GGUUCUAUAGUGUAAUAGGUAAACACAUCAGGUUUUCAACCUGAAAAGUCUGGGUUCGAUCCCCAGUAGAAUCACCA
Molecule: transfer RNA, 77 nt
Filed under: Bacillota bacterium
Lineage: Bacteria; Bacillati; Bacillota
Description: tRNA-Glu
Rfam family: tRNA
About the family: Transfer RNA (tRNA) molecules are approximately 80 nucleotides in length. Their secondary structure includes four short double-helical elements and three loops (D, anti-codon, and T loops).
Source: RNAcentral